GACGAACGCUGGCGGCGUGCUUAACACAUGCAAGUCGAACGGAAAGGCCCUGCUUUUGCGGGGUGCUCGAGUGGCGAACGGGUGAGUAACACGUGAGUAACCUGCCCUUGACUUUGGGAUAACUUCAGGAAACUGGGGCUAAUACCGGAUAGGAGCUCCUGCUGCAUGGUGGGGGUUGGAAAGUUUCGGCGGUUGGGGCUGGACUCGCGGCUUAUCGGCUUGUUGGUGGGGUAGUGGCUUACCAAGGCUUCGACGGAUAGCCGGCCUGAGAGGGGGGCCAGGGUCAAUAGGCCUACGGGACGGAGCAGUCGCGAACGGGAGGCAACGGUCGAAAGUAUUGCACAGUGAGGCCGAGUCUGUUACGACGGCGCUCGGAGCGUAAUGACCGCCUUCUGGUUAUAAACCGCUUUCGCCUGUGACGAAGCGGGUGUGACGGUACUGAGUGAAGAAGCACCGGCUAACUACGUG
RNAcentral lists this ribosomal RNA (468 nucleotides) under uncultured bacterium. RNAcentral's name for it is "partial 16S ribosomal RNA". It matches the Rfam family "Bacterial small subunit ribosomal RNA", at positions 28 to 507 of the family's 1533-position model. The record is from RNAcentral.